AGAGUUUGAUCAUGGCUCAGAACGAACGCUGGCGGCAUGCCUAACACAUGCAAGUCGGACGGGCGGCCUUCGGGCCGCCAGUGGCGGACGGGUGAGUAACGCGUGGGUACCUGCCUCCUGGUGCGGGACAACGUCUGGAAACGGACGCUAAUACCGCAUGCCCCCUGCGGGGGAAAGGCUUGCCGCCAGGAGAGGGGCCCGCGUCGGAUUAGCUAGUUGGCGGGGUGACGGCCCACCAAGGCGACGAUCCGUAGCUGGUCUGAGAGGAUGGCCAGCCACACUGGGACUGAGACACGGCCCAGACUCCUACGGGAGGCAGCAGUGGGGAAUAUUGGACAAUGGGCGCAAGCCUGAUCCAGCAAUGCCGCGUGGGUGAUGAAGGCCUUCGGGUUGUAAAGCCCUUUCGCACGCGACGAUGAUGACGGUAGCGUGAGAAGAAGCCCCGGCUAACUUCGUGCCAGCAGCCGCGGUAAUACGAAGGGGGCUAGCGUUGUUCGGAAUCACUGGGCGUAAAGGGCGCGUAGGCGGCCCGUCAAGUCAGGCGUGAAAGCCCCGGGCUCAACCCGGGAUGUGCGCUUGGGACUGGCGGGCUCGAGGCCGGGAGAGGGUGGCGGAAUUCCCAGUGUAGAGGUGAAAUUCGUAGAUAUUGGGAAGAACACCGGUGGCGAAGGCGGCCACCUGGACCGGAUCUGACGCUGAG
This 700-nucleotide ribosomal RNA is filed under the name uncultured bacterium. RNAcentral's name for it is "bacterial SSU rRNA". It matches the Rfam family "Bacterial small subunit ribosomal RNA", at positions 8 to 750 of the family's 1533-position model. The record is from RNAcentral.